RNAcentral lists this ribosomal RNA (253 nucleotides) under uncultured bacterium. RNAcentral's name for it is "partial 16S ribosomal RNA". It matches the Rfam family "Bacterial small subunit ribosomal RNA", at positions 524 to 776 of the family's 1533-position model. The record is from RNAcentral.
UACGGGGGGGGUAAGCGUUGUUCGGAAUUACUGGGCGUAAAGGGCUCGUAGGCGGCCAACUAAGUCAUACGUGAAAUCCCUCAGCUUAACUGGGGAACUGCGUGUGAUACUGGAUGGCUUGGAUUUGGGAGAGGGAUGCGGAAUUCCAGGUGUAGCGGUGAAAUGCGUAGAUAUCUGGAGGAACACCGGUGGCGAAGGCGGCAUCCUGGACCAAUAUUGACGCUGUGGAGCGAAAGCCAGGGGAGCAAACGGG